AACUCUCAGCGCACUUUUUCAUCUAUAUUACUUAUUUACUUCUGUGUGUUGAGCCCAAAUCUGCCAACAUGUGAGUGUUCCAUCCUUUGAUCUCAUUUUCUGGGAGGAGCACAAAAAAAAAUGUGGCUUCUUUGAAAGCUCUUCAUGUAUUUAAAGAUCACUCUCAAGCCCGCAGUCAACCUGGAGUAGGCAGAUGAAGCAACUGGGGAAAAGACCUCUUGACCUACCAACAAACAGUCACUGACACUGUCAAGGUCAGAGGUGGUGAGAGACACAGAUUGCAGGUAUCUUUGUAAGUUCCAAUUCGUCCCCCACACCAGGUUCAGCUUGCCUUCACUCUCCCCUGAGUCACUUUGAGUUUGGUUCUACUGACCUACAGGAAGCUUAUUCCCACCACUGAAUUCAAGGGACAAUCUUCCCAUAUGUCUUUACCAACUCUCGCAAAUGAAGACAGAGUCUAUGUUGUUCAGGCUGGCCUCAAACUCCAGGGCUCAACAAAGCCUCCUGCCUCAACUUCCCCAGUAGCUGGGACUACAGCAAAUAUCUUCCACUGAGAUCAUGUGGUUUUAAUCAUACAGGGAGAGUGGCAGAAGAACAGAAAGAUUGAAACCAAGAACAGAGAACACCUGAAAUUGCUUCAGGGUCAUAUGUCACAGCUCUGGGCAUUUCAUUUGGGUGAGUGAAAGGAGGGAAGGGAGCAAUGCUGGGAAGGUUUAAAAUCUCCAAGUGAUAUACGAGGAAAAAGGCUGUGCUCGUCACAAAAGAGGACCUUGACAAUAGACUCCACCUUGGAGCAGCUGCUGUGUCCCCCGUAGGAUGAUCACAGCACAUUUUCCUUGUCAGACUUGGAGUCUGCACCAGGGAGUGCUCAGGAAGGGACCAGUACAAUGUUGGGGAUCUGCCCUUGAGCCUCCAAGCCGUGCGAUGGGUGGAGACGUCACCCCAAGACACUCACAAAUCCUUUUGGCACACGCUUCAGGAAGACCAUCUGCUUUUGUUGUUCCUCUGACCUUUUGUUAGCACCCACCCUAAAUUGGAAAUAAAUUGCCAGAAGAAAUCUGAAGCCUAAAGCAGUUUUAGACCCUGAUGUCAAAGCAAGUCAAAUUAGUAUCUAUCAUCAUUCCCAUUCUGCAAUGAGGAAAUGCUGUCAGAGUGGCUAAGUAAUUUGCCCACGGUCUCACAUAGAAGCCUGUAUUCUCCAGGGAACACAGCACUCAGAGCCAUCUUGGCCCCUGCAUAAGCCUGCAUGAGCCUGGGCUCUGGGGACCCAUCCUGGUGCAUCAUUCGUUGGCUUUGUGACAAUGGGCACAUCGUUUAACCUCUCUUGGCUUCAUUCUCCUUACUGGAAUGAUGUAGAGAGUUUUGCCUAUUUCAGAGGCUUGCUCUUCUAUACAUGAGCCUAUAAGUAACUUGUCUUAAGAAUUUCCACUCCUUCCGUACUCUGAUUUAAAUUUGAAGGCAUCAAAACAAAAGCAAUCAACAUUUCAGAUUCCAAAUACUUCCAUUUUCAUCUUUUAUUAUGAUUAGAAUUUCUUCUGAAUGUAUUUCUGUUUUGUAAUUUUAGCAUUGCCCUAAGGGGGGAAAAAGGCAGUUUAUCACCAUGCAGAAUAUUUUUCAGACAGCCUCUCUUUGACAAACUGAUUUUUGUCAGUCUCAACUGACUUACCAAUUCCAAAUCCCAGGGCUUCCCUGGGAAACUUCCUUGGAUCAUGGCUUUGCCACACAGGACCAACAUCCCAGAGCCCAAAGCAACCUGCUAUAAACUGAGAUCAUUGCUCAGCAAGCUGGUACCACAUGCGAGGAGUCUCAAGAGCUAACAGGAAAUGAUUCAAGACCAGAAUUAGCCAAAGCAAGUGUGUUAGCUUCCUCUGCGCAUGGGAUAAUAAGGAGCUUGCAUCACCAACCUUCCGUGAAUAGCCUACUCAGUGAUUCAACAGGUUUCAAAAAUUGUGAAA
This is a long non-coding RNA of Pongo pygmaeus (Bornean orangutan), 1955 nucleotides long. RefSeq lists it as uncharacterized. The record is from RefSeq and is a predicted model, not a curated record. NCBI's taxonomy places the organism in Eukaryota, Metazoa, Chordata, Mammalia, Primates, Hominidae. The transcript is spliced from 8 exons.